GCCAAUGUGGCAUAGUGGCUUGAGUGCUGGACUACAACUCUGGAGACCUGGGUUCAAAUCCCCACUUGGCCA
Non-coding RNA from Phrynosoma platyrhinos (Desert horned lizard), 72 nucleotides. NCBI's taxonomy places the organism in Eukaryota, Metazoa, Chordata, Lepidosauria, Squamata, Phrynosomatidae. The record is from the annotation of a GenBank genome assembly.